Molecule: ribosomal RNA, 460 nt
Filed under: uncultured bacterium
Lineage: Bacteria
Description: partial 16S ribosomal RNA
Rfam family: Bacterial small subunit ribosomal RNA
Source: RNAcentral
CCUACGGGCGGUAGCAGUGAGGAAUAUUGGUCAAUGGACGAGAGUCUGAACCAGCCAAGUAGCGUGAAGGAUGACUGCCCUAUGGGUUGUAAACUUCUUUUAUAUGGGAAUAAAACAGGGUAUGCAUACCCUCUUGUAUGUACCAUAUGAAUAAGGAUCGGCUAACUCCGUGCCAGCAGCCGCGGUAAUACGGAGGAUCCGAGCGUUAUCCGGAUUUAUUGGGUUUAAAGGGAGCGUAGGUGGAUUGUUAAGUCAGUUGUGAAAGUUUGCGGCUCAACCGUAAAAUUGCAGUUGAAACUGGCAGUCGUGAGUACAGUAGAGGUGGGCGGAAUUCGUGGUGUAGCGGUGAAAUGCUUAGAUAUCACGAAGAACUCCGAUUGCGAAGGCAGCUCACUGGACUGCAACUGACACUGAUGCUCGAAAGUGUGGGUAUCAAACAGGAUUAGAUACCCGAGUAGUC